GACGAACGCUGGCGGCGUGCUUAACACAUGCAAGUCGAACGGAAAGGCCCUGCUUUUGUGGGGUGCUCGAGUGGCGAACGGGUGAGUAACACGUGAGUAACCUGCCCUUGACUUUGGGAUAACUUCAGGAAACUGGGGCUAAUACCGGAUAGGAGCUCCUGCUGCAUGGUGGGGGUUGGAAAGUUUCGGCGGUUGGGGAUGGACUCGCGGCUUAUCAGCUUGUUGGUGGGGGAGUGGCUUACCAAGGCUUUGACGGGUAGCCGGCCUGAGAGGGUGACCGGCCACAUUGGGACUGAGAUACGGCCCAGACUCCUACGGGAGGCAGCAGUGGGGAAUAUUGCACAAUGGGCGGAAGCCUGAUGCAGCAGCGCCGCGUGCGGGAUGACGGCCUUCGGGUUGUAAACCGCUUUCGCCUGUGACGAAGCGUGAGUGACGGUAAUGGGUAAAGAAGCACCGGCUAACUACGU
RNAcentral lists this ribosomal RNA (467 nucleotides) under uncultured bacterium. RNAcentral's name for it is "partial 16S ribosomal RNA". It matches the Rfam family "Bacterial small subunit ribosomal RNA", at positions 28 to 506 of the family's 1533-position model. The record is from RNAcentral.